UCCUUGGUAUCCCAACCUGCAAUAUUGGAACCAGCUCAUCAAUAUUCAACUGCCUGAAUCAGGUGUUCAUUGAUAGAGAUAUUCCUUGGGCCAACUGCAUUGGAUUCUCAUCUGACAACUGCAAUGUGAUGAUAGGCAAGAACAACAGUGUCCUGACCCGUAUUCAGCAGAUGUCACCAAGUGUGUUCAACGUAGGGUGUGUUUGCCACUUAGCCAACCUCUGUGCACAGAAGGCCAUCAAGACCCUGCCAUUGCCAGUUGAUGACUUCUUGGUGGACAUCUACUACCACUUUCAUCAUAGUUCCACCAGAAGAGAGAAUUACAAG
Mytilus californianus (California mussel) is the source of this 326-nucleotide long non-coding RNA. RefSeq lists it as uncharacterized. The transcript has 3 exons. Lineage: Eukaryota; Metazoa; Mollusca; Bivalvia; Mytilida; Mytilidae. The record is from RefSeq and is a predicted model, not a curated record.